GGUUUCUUGUAAUUAUUUAGGAGACCUGACCUGCCCACUGAAAAUAUUUUGAAGGGCCGCAGUAUUUUGACUGUGCAAAGGUAGCAUAAUCAUUAGUCUUUUAAUUGAAGGCUGGUAUGAAUGGUUGGAUGAGGUAAAUCCUGUUUUAUGUUAAUUGAUGUUGAAUUUAGAUUUUAAGUAAAAAUACUUAAAUGUUAUUAAGGGACGAGAAGACCCUAUAGAGUUUAAUAAAUAUAAUAAUUAAUUGAGUUAAAGUUUAAUUUUUGGUUUUUAUGUAAUUUAUUUAAUUGGGGUGAUUGGAAGAUAAAAUAAACUCUUCUUUAUAUUUAAUAAAUUAAUUAGUUAUAUGAUCCAUAUUUAAUGAUUAAAAGAUUAAAUUACCUUAGGGAUAACAGCAUAAUUCUUUUUAAGAGUUCAUAUCGAAAAAAGAGAUUGUGACCUCGAUGUUGGAUUAAGAUUAGUUAUGGGUGCAGAUGUUCAAUAACUAGGUCUGUUCGACCUUGAAAAUCUU
This 511-nucleotide ribosomal RNA is filed under the name Tenodera sinensis (Chinese praying mantis). RNAcentral's name for it is "partial large subunit ribosomal RNA". It matches the Rfam family "Archaeal large subunit ribosomal RNA", at positions 1910 to 2666 of the family's 2987-position model. The record is from RNAcentral. Lineage: Eukaryota; Metazoa; Arthropoda; Insecta; Mantodea; Mantidae.